GACGAACGCUGGCGGCGUGCUUAACACAUGCAAGUCGAACGGUAAGGCCCUUCGGGGUACACGAGUGGCGAACGGGUGAGUAACACGUGGGUGAUCUGCCCUGCACUUCGGGAUAAGCCUGGGAAACUGGGUCUAAUACCGGAUAGGACUCCGGACUGCAUGGUCUGGGGUGGAAAGCUUUUGCGGUGUGGGAUGGGCCCGCGGCCUAUCAGCUUGUUGGUGGGGUGAUGGCCUACCAAGGCGACGACGGGUAGCCGGCCUGAGAGGGUGACGGGCCACACUGGGACUGAGAUACGGCCCAGACUCCGACGGGAGGCAGCAGUGGGGAAUAUUGCACAAUGGGCGCAAGCCUGAUGCAGCGACGCCGCGUGAGGGAUGACGGCCUUCGGGUUGUAAACCUCUUUCAGCACAGACGAAGCGCAAGUGACGGUAUGUGCAGAAGAAGGACCGGCCAACUACGUGCCAGCCGCCGCGGUAA
Molecule: ribosomal RNA, 478 nt
Filed under: uncultured bacterium
Lineage: Bacteria
Description: partial 16S ribosomal RNA
Rfam family: Bacterial small subunit ribosomal RNA
Source: RNAcentral